This 285-nucleotide ribosomal RNA is filed under the name uncultured bacterium. RNAcentral's name for it is "partial 16S ribosomal RNA". It matches the Rfam family "Bacterial small subunit ribosomal RNA", at positions 333 to 615 of the family's 1533-position model. The record is from RNAcentral.
CCACUCCUACGGGACGCAGCAGUGAGGAAUAUUGGUCAAUGGGAGAGAUCCUGAACCAGCCAAGCCGCGUGAGGGAAGACGGCCCUAUGGGUUGUAAACCUCUUUUGUCGGAGAACAAAACCCGGGACGUGUCCCGGACUGCGUGUAUCCGAAGAAAAAGCAUCGGCUAACUCCGUGCCAGCAGCCGCGGUAAUACGGAGGAUGCGAGCGUUAUCCGGAUUUAUUGGGUUUAAAGGGUGCGUAGGCGGUCCGUUAAUUCAGCGGUAAAAUUGCAGUGCUCAACCC